AUGGAGUGGCUUCGACAAGUCUAACUCGGAGAUAUUCCAGUUGGAGGUUCCGGCCACCAUGCCAGUUGUGAAAGAGCGGAGCGGGCUUGACAGCGUUGAGAAGUUCUUGCGAUGGACAAUGGGCACAAAGUGAGGCCAUCCUACGUGCUGCAUGUAUAAAUUUUAGCUUCCCACUGUUUAAAUUUAUACAAGUUUGUGUUCAAGACAAGACGUACAACUACUCUAUAAACACGAAAAUAAUUACAAAAAUAUGACAGAUCAAAGGUAAUUAGGAUACAAAUAUAACUUGGGAGGUUUGUACAUGUUGUCUUGCUUCAAAGAUCCAACCCAUAUAUGUAAAUUGACCAAAAGAUAAGAACUUUUUGAUGGGGCUACGAGGUGGGAGAAAGGAAACUACAUAUGGCUUAGGAAUAAGACGGAUAAAGUUGAUAAACGAAGCGUAUUGAAGGCCAACUAUCGGAAGGAAAAUGAGAUGCAAACCAUCAACAGGAAGUCUUCGUACUCUUAGAUAUGAAAAGCAUGCAUGUUGCAGUCAGAUCGGAUUAAUUGAUAUUUCAGUUGAGUAAAAGAAAAAAUCAAUUGAGCAACAAAUUAUGAAUUAUGGUUAAAUUGCAAAUCAAAUGAACCAGUAAAAAAUAGGGCCAAAAUUUCACAGCUCAAACUUAAAAUAUCAACUCUUUUUCUAGCCCAAAUCCCAUAAAAACUGGUCCAAACCCUUCAAAUUUACUAAAUCCAACCCUACCCCCAAAUGUAAAACAAAGGCAGCCCUUAAUGUGUCGGAGUGUACCCCUGAACCAAAACAAAAUGCAAUAGCUUUCUAAUUUCUUUGGCCUUCGCUGGUUUCUUUUAAACCUUUGAACUGUCUAAAUUUAUUGAUUUUUGAGAUUUGUUUUUAUCAUUGUCUUUGUUCACUCUUUAUUCGUUGCACCUUCAACCCUUUGAAUACAACAAGAUAAAACUAGAGAGUGUUCCGAAACUUUGAGUUUGAAGAUUAAAGAAAACAUUAAGAUUCAAGAUUAGAGAAAAAAGAACAGAAAAAAAGAAAUUACCAUAAAAAAAAAACAAGGCUUGAUUGGUUGUCAUCAAGAUUGUUGUAUAGCCCAAAUUAUGCCCGGCCCAAAACCAAAUAAAACAAUUACAAAACCCAAACAGCAGGCCCAACUUCCACAUCAAAUGACCCAAACAAUAAAAAACCUAAAGCCCACCUAGCCCAACAAACUAAACAUUUUCAGCAGCCAAAAAACCCUAGUCACCAAGUUUUCAGCCGCCACUCCCUUUAGCCUUGGCCAUCACGCGCGCCACCACCACCGUUCGGGGCACCAACCACCGGCCUUCCAUGCGCCUGACACUCAUCUGUCACCUGCAAAGAAAGAUUCGCACGCAAGCAGUAAAAACGAGAAAGAAAAACGACAAAAAAUAGGAGUAAAUAAUCUUGUAAAUGGCUUUAAAAGCCACAAUCUCAUAUUUGAACAGGGGGUUUUUUUGUUUUAUUUUUGGUAGACAAAAAAGAAAUCUGAAAUACAAAGAAAAAAAGGGUUGCAGAAUAUUAAUCAAAAAUUUUCAAAGCAAAGAGAGGUUAGAUUCUUGAUUGCAAGUCUGAACGGAGUUAGAAUCCGAAUGGACCACCUUCCGUCGGCCACCGUUUGCGGUGGCUACAUGGUGGCUUGGGUUUGUCUUCUUUGGGUUUGAAUGGAUGAAAGCGGCUAGGGUUAAUAUCAAAAAGGGGAAGGGUUGAUUGAUCUGUUAAAGAGGGUUUUAUAUGCUUGAGGAUUGGGGGGUAUUUUCCUAAUUAACCCUCCAUUUCCUUUGCAUAUUUCAUUUCAACCCUUUUGUUUUUUUUAAUUCGAUUUAAAUUUCAAUUAGCCUUUUAUUUUAUUUUAUUUUAAUUCAUUGGUUCAUUCAUUCAUUUAUUUGUUUGUAUAUGUUAUUCGUUUAUAUAUUUAUGUUAAUUCUUGUACUCAAUUGUUAAUUGUUCCUCCAUUCUUUUAUUUCAUUAUUAUCACCUUAUUA
RNAcentral lists this long non-coding RNA (2010 nucleotides) under Gossypium barbadense (sea-island cotton). Its description in RNAcentral is "long non-coding RNA (GBAR_LNC003667)". The record is from RNAcentral. Lineage: Eukaryota; Viridiplantae; Streptophyta; Magnoliopsida; Malvales; Malvaceae.